GUCCCCGUAGCUCAACGGAUAGAGCGUUUGGUUGCGGACCAGGAGGUUGGAGGUUCGAUUCCUCCCGGGGACGCAA
Molecule: transfer RNA, 76 nt
Filed under: Candidatus Woesebacteria bacterium
Lineage: Bacteria; Candidatus Woeseibacteriota
Description: tRNA-Arg
Rfam family: tRNA
About the family: Transfer RNA (tRNA) molecules are approximately 80 nucleotides in length. Their secondary structure includes four short double-helical elements and three loops (D, anti-codon, and T loops).
Source: RNAcentral